AAGUCGUAACAAGGUCUCCGUUGGUGAACCAGCGGAGGGAUCAUUAGCGAGUUUAUAACUCCAACCCCUGUGAAUCUACCUUUGUCGUUGCUUCGGCGGGCGGCCCUUGGGAAGGGCCAUAGGCCUGCUGUAUGCAGGCGCCCGCCGGAAGCCCACUAUAAAUUCUUUUGAGUUGCCUCUGAGUGGAAAACACAAUCAGUUAAAACUUUCAACAACGGAUCUCUUGGUUCUGGCAUCGAUGAAGAACGCAGCGAAAUGCGAUAAGUAAUGUGAAUUGCAGAAUUCAGUGAAUCAUCGAAUCUUUGAACGCACAUUGCGCCCGCCAGUACCCUGGCGGGCAUGCCUGUUCGAGCGUCAUUUCAACCCUCUAGCCCUGUGCUAGGUGUUGGGGCUUCCCGCCGCCGUGCGGGACCCCGAAAAGUAGUGGCGGGCUCGCCGUGUCUCUGAGCGUAGUAUUGUUCUCGCUACGGAAGGCGCGGUGCGUUCCGGCCGUAAAAUACCUACAUUUUACCAUGGUUGACCUCGGAUCAGGUAGGAAUACCCGCUGAACUUAA
RNAcentral lists this ribosomal RNA (554 nucleotides) under uncultured Fimetariella. RNAcentral describes it as "eukaryotic LSU rRNA". The stretch from base 204 to 357 matches the Rfam family "5.8S ribosomal RNA". The record is from RNAcentral. Lineage: Eukaryota; Fungi; Ascomycota; Sordariomycetes; Sordariales; Lasiosphaeriaceae.